RNAcentral lists this ribosomal RNA (659 nucleotides) under Bacillus sp. TH-N-7. RNAcentral's name for it is "bacterial SSU rRNA". It matches the Rfam family "Bacterial small subunit ribosomal RNA", at positions 46 to 675 of the family's 1533-position model. Lineage: Bacteria; Bacillati; Bacillota; Bacilli; Caryophanales; Bacillaceae. The record is from RNAcentral.
GCCCCUAAAUCAUGGCCAAGUUCCGAGCGGGACAGAAGGGGAGCUUGCUCCCGUGAUGUUAGCGGCGGACGGGUGAGCAAAAAAGAAGGGAACCUGCCUGUAAGACUGGGAUAACUCCUUUUAAACCGGAGCUAAUACCGGAUAGUUCCUUGAACCGCAUGGUUCAAGGAUGAAAGACGGUUUCGGCUGUCACUUACAGAUGGACCCGCGGCGCAUUAGCUAGUUGGUGAGGUAACGGCUCACCAAGGCGACGAUGCGUAGCCGACCUGAGAGGGUGAUCGGCCACACUGGGACUGAGACACGGCCCAGACUCCUACGGGAGGCAGCAGUAGGGAAUCUUCCGCAAUGGACGAAAGUCUGACGGAGCAACGCCGCGUGAGUGAUGAAGGUUUUCGGAUCGUAAAGCUCUGUUGUUAGGGAAGAACAAGUGCAAGAGUAACUGCUUGCACCUUGACGGUACCUAACCAGAAAGCCACGGCUAACUACGUGCCAGCAGCCGCGGUAAUACGUAGGUGGCAAGCGUUGUCCGGAAUUAUUGGGCGUAAAGGGCUCGCAGGCGGUUUCUUAAAGUCUGAUGUGAAAGCCCCCCGGCUCAACCGGGGAGGGUCAUUGGAAACUGGGAAACUUGAGUGCAGAAGAGGAGAGUGGAAUUCCACGUG